UACGAAGGGGACUAGCGUUGUUCGGAAUUACUGGGCGUAAAGCGCACGUAGGCGGAUUGCUAAGUCAGGGGUGAAAUCCCGGGGCUCAACCUCGGAACUGCCUUUGAUACUGACAAUCUCGAGUCCGAUAGAGGUGGGUGGAAUUCCUAGUGUAGAGGUGAAAUUCGUAGAUAUCGGGAGGAACACCGGUGGCGAAGGCGGCGAUCUGGGUCGAUACUGACGCUGAGGUGCGAAAGCGUGGGGAGCAAACAGG
This 253-nucleotide ribosomal RNA is filed under the name uncultured bacterium. RNAcentral's name for it is "partial 16S ribosomal RNA". It matches the Rfam family "Bacterial small subunit ribosomal RNA", at positions 524 to 776 of the family's 1533-position model. The record is from RNAcentral.